CGCAAGGGGAGCGGCAGACGGGUGAGUAACGCGUGGGAACGUACCUUUUGCUACGGAAUAACUCAGGGAAACUUGUGCUAAUACCGUAUGUGCCCUUCGGGGGAAAGAUUUAUCGGCAAAGGAUCGGCCCGCGUUGGAUUAGCUAGUUGGUGAGGUAAAGGCUCACCAAGGCGACGAUCCAUAGCUGGUCUGAGAGGAUGAUCAGCCACACUGGGACUGAGACACGGCCCAGACUCCUACGGGAGGCAGCAGUGGGGAAUAUUGGACAAUGGGCGCAAGCCUGAUCCAGCCAUGCCGCGUGAGUGAUGAAGGCCCUAGGGUUGUAAAGCUCUUUCACCGGUGAAGAUAAUGACGGUAACCGGAGAAGAAGCCCCGGCUAACUUCGUGCCAGCAGCCGCGGUAAUACGAAGGGGGCUAGCGUUGUUCGGAUUUACUGGGCGUAAAGCGCACGUAGGCGGACUUUUAAGUCAGGGGUGAAAUCCCGGGGCUCAACCCCGGAACUGCCUUUGAUACUGGAAGUC
Molecule: ribosomal RNA, 521 nt
Filed under: uncultured Ochrobactrum sp.
Lineage: Bacteria; Pseudomonadati; Pseudomonadota; Alphaproteobacteria; Hyphomicrobiales; Brucellaceae
Description: bacterial SSU rRNA
Rfam family: Bacterial small subunit ribosomal RNA
Source: RNAcentral